This 656-nucleotide ribosomal RNA is filed under the name uncultured Actinomycetes bacterium. Its description in RNAcentral is "bacterial SSU rRNA". It matches the Rfam family "Bacterial small subunit ribosomal RNA", at positions 231 to 875 of the family's 1533-position model. Lineage: Bacteria; Bacillati; Actinomycetota; Actinomycetes. The record is from RNAcentral.
UCGCGGCCUAUCAGCUUGUUGGUGGGGAAACGGCCUACCAAGGCGAUGACGGGUAGCUGGCGUGAGAGCGUGGCCAGCCACACUGGAACUGAGACACGGUCCAGACUCCUACGGGAGGCAGCAGUGGGGAAUAUUGCGCAAUGGGCGAAAGCCUGACGCAGCGACGCCGCGUGGGGGAGGAAGGCCCCAGGGUUGUAAACCCCUGUCAGGUGGGACGAACCACGGAUCGGUUAAUACCCGGUCCGCCUGACGGUACCACCAGAGGAAGCUCCGGCUAACUCCGUGCCAGCAGCCGCGGUAAUACGGAGGGAGCAAGCGUUGUUCGGAAUCACUGGGCGUAAAGGGCGCGUAGGCGGUCGGGUAAGUCGGGUGUGAAAUUCCGGGGCUCAACCCCGUGAACUGCACCCGAUACUGCUCGACUAGAGAGAGGUAGGGGCGAGUGGAAUUCCCGGUGUAGCGGUGGAAUGCGUAGAUAUCGGGAAGAACACCGGUGGCGAAGGCGGCUCGAUGGGCCUCUUCUGACGCUGAAGCGCGAAAGCGUGGGGAGCAAACAGGAUUAGAUACCCUGGUAGUCCACGCCGUAAACGAUGGGUACUAGGUGUUGGGAGGAUUGACCGGUCUCAGUGCCGACGCUAACGCAUUAAGUACCCCGCCUG